UACGAAGGGGGCUAGCGUUGUUCGGAAUCACUGGGCGUAAAGCGCACGCAGGCGGAUUGAUAAGUUAGAGGUGAAAGCCCAGGGCUCAACCCUGGAAUUGCCUUUAAGACUGCAUCGCUUGAACAUCGGAGAGGUAAGUGGAAUUCCGAGUGUAGAGGUGAAAUUCGUAGAUAUUCGGAAGAACACCAGUGGCGAAGGCGACUUACUGGACGAUUGUUGACGCUGAGGUGCGAAAGCGUGGGGAGCAAACAGG
This 253-nucleotide ribosomal RNA is filed under the name uncultured bacterium. RNAcentral's name for it is "partial 16S ribosomal RNA". It matches the Rfam family "Bacterial small subunit ribosomal RNA", at positions 524 to 776 of the family's 1533-position model. The record is from RNAcentral.